Triticum urartu is the source of this 2597-nucleotide non-coding RNA. The record is from RefSeq and is a predicted model, not a curated record. NCBI's taxonomy places the organism in Eukaryota, Viridiplantae, Streptophyta, Magnoliopsida, Poales, Poaceae.
UAGAGCGAGGGGGAAAAACUCGCGGUACUAGUAAGUACUGGGCUUUUUAACAACCUGAAAUCCCCAUCUCGUCCAAAUCGAGCUCCCCUCCUCGCUGCCGCCGCCCCACGAAUCUGCACACACACUCCACAUUCUUCGCCAAUUCCCCAAACCCACCGCCGCGCCAUCGUCGACCUAGGCUGCGACCACCAUGGUCGCCGUCGUCGUCUCCUCCAUGGAGGUCCGACCCGCCAGGAUCAAGCCGCGGCCUGAGCCUGCCAUGGGGAAUCCGCCCCGAUUGCAGCGUGUAGGCAGGCACUGUAGGAAGAGGAAGAGGGAGGAGGGAGGGGGACGGGGGAGGGCAGCGCCCGUAGCCGCGUGCACGUGGCCGUGGCGCCGGAGUGGCGGAGGAGGGGUAGGGCGGUGCUCGUCGCGGCGGCCUCGACAGGCAACUACGUGGUGCCACCUUCCUCCAACACCGGCCGCCUCGUGCUGCGGCUGCUGGCAGUGGCGCAGCGAGUCUCCCACCUUACCACCACCGCUGCUUGCCGUCCGUCCCUCCUUCCGUCCAUGGCGGCGGCGACCUCCGGCGUCAGCAGGCUCAGCGCGGUGGCAGGCAACAACAACGGCGACGUCGGCCUCCAAGACUCCUGGCCUCUGUUGGAAUAUUUUCGGGCAUUGUCUCAUCAAUUUUACCGAACUCCUGAACACCAUAGAUUUGUGCGGCAACAGGUGGUCAAUCAGGGUUCUGGUGGCGAUGUCGAUGGUCGUCGAGAGGUUCGUGGACUGGAUGGUGUCGUGGCUGCUGAUGUACGGAGAGGCGAAGCUGCUGCUCGUCAUCUACCUCUGGCACCCCAGCACACGGGGUGCGGGCCAUGUGUACGAUGGCUUCCUCCAUCUGCUGGUGGCGUUACACGAGGCCGACAUCGACCGGGGCCUGCUUGAGCUGAUGGCUAGAGCGAGGGACGUGACGACGUCACAACUCAAGGCGGCGGCUGCCAUCGGUCAAGUGUGGCUAGUCGAGGCUGCCCGCUGUGUUUCGUCGCAGUUGCAGGCCGCGAGAUCAGGCCGGGAAGGCGCCACGCAUUGACGAGGCCAUGUGUACGAUGGCUUCCUCCAUCUGCUGGUGGCGUUACACGAGGCCGACAUCGACCGGGGCCUGCUUGAGCUGAUGGCUAGGGCGAGGGACGUGACGACGUCACAACUCAAGGCGGCGGCUGCCAUCGGUCAAGUGUGGCUAGUCGAGGCUGCUCGCUGUGUUUCGUCGCAGUUGCAGGCCGCGAGAUCAGGCCGGGAAGGCGCCACGCAUUGACGAGAUCACAGAGGAAUAUCAAAUGUAGCACCAGUUGACUGUCCACUCUGAUCCCGCUAUUGGCACCAGAAGUGGACCAAUCAGAACAGGGAGCAUUGGAUAAAACAAGAAUCCAUGACCACAUGAGCAAUCUUCGGUUCUCUCUAUCACCAACAUCAUUUUUCAGGCCUAUCUGAACUGCAAACUACUUUGCCAAUUGGGCUUUGUUGUUAACUUUGGUAUUGACUCACAAUUACAUAGGUUAAUACUCUUGCAGCAGAAAGACUGUACACCCUUUGCUGAGCCUCAACAAUGGAUUAUGAAGAUUCUACUGAUAGAUUAUUAUCAACACGGCUUUCAACAAAGCCGGUUCCGUACAAUUGCUGAGAAAAAUCCAGGGCAGUCUUAGGUGAUUGCUGCUAGCCAAGGGUGUGUCAGGCGGCCGUUGUGAUGGGGAUCGACGAUCCUGCAAGGGGCCGCCGAGCGGCUGUUGCGGACUGGCCAUGGACGCUGUGACCGUUGCGGGGAAGGGAACGCGUGGUGGGCGAGCUUAUUGUUGGUUGCUAUGACACUGAGUGGUGAGUGAGGUGGGAAGAGACUUGAAGCAUCACCGAGCGCUCAGAGCAUCAACAAUGAAGCAUUACCACUGCUGCAAUGGAGCAUUCGUUAGGCCAUCGAAACAUCAUCGGUGCUGCAAUGGAGCUUCUCGGGCAGUCGGAGCAUAGCCGACACUGCAUUGGAGCACCGUUGGGCCUCCAAAACAUCAUCGGUGCUACGGUGGAGCUUCUCGGGCCGUCGGAGCAUCCCGGUGCUGCAUUGGAGAAUCGUCGGGCCUCCGAAACAUCACCGAUGCUGCAGUGGAGCUUCUCUGGCCGUCGGAGCAUCGCCGGAGCAUAAUUGACGCUGCAAUGGAGCAUCGCCAGGUCAUCGAAGCAUUGCCCGAGCAUCACUUGCGACAGAGCAUCGCUGAGCCGCCGGAGCAUCACCACCAGAGCAAUGGAGCAUCGGCGGUGCUUCAAGGGCAGCAGGGAUGCUGGGUUGGUGGCUGGAAACACUGCGAGGAGACAUGUGGCAUGGGGGAUGGAAAUGAUGGUGCAAUUGUACCAGGGAAUCAAGCGGCCCAAAUCAAAUUCUAUAGGCUCAAAUCAAUGGCUGCCUGGCUGGUCAGGCGUCUGAUCUUUUCCUAAGAUCAGCCGGCUGACGAGUAGCAGCUGCCAGGAAAUAAUGCCGGGACAGAGCUUGUAUGCCAUCCAAUAAGGUCUCGAUGUUGUCUAUUCAUUCGUAUCUUCUUGACAGGCUCACAUCAGAACAUUAAUUUUGGUUUACC